CGGCAGUCCAAAACCUGUGACGUAUGUGAAAACCCUCUACUUCAAGUCCCACAACUACUCACCCAAGAACUAAUAUAUCCAGAUAACAUGAAAUUCACUCCACCUGAGUCAGAUGUCAUGGAGAUCAUCCAGACACCAGAAGUAGAUCACACAGGACUCAGCGGUGAUGAGAAACAUUCAGCUGACCUGUGAGUGGGUAAAGGAGACCACUUUGCUAGGAAGAUGAGCUGCAAAAGAUCUAAAGAAGGAUGAUACCCUAUUAGCUAUAACAAUGUGGGACUUGUUUAAAAACACCAUGUUUUAUGAGGGUGAAAGGAAUGAAGAAGAAAUGUCGACUCCCUUCC
Paramisgurnus dabryanus is the source of this 344-nucleotide long non-coding RNA. RefSeq lists it as uncharacterized. The record is from RefSeq and is a predicted model, not a curated record. Lineage: Eukaryota; Metazoa; Chordata; Actinopteri; Cypriniformes; Cobitidae.